GCCACGCAAAUAUUUUUCAGAUUCGCUGAACCAAAAUCUGCAGAGCCUUGUGGUGAUUCCUGCGGCGAUGGAUCUGUUCGUGAUGGUCGUAUUGGUGAUGUUGUUGGUGUUGGUGAUGGUGGCGGUGAAAUCGGAACGGCCGAGUUGGUGAUUGUCAACGCCGCUUUGCUCAACAUCAGCAAAGCGGAGAACGGAGUGCAGAGAGACAGCAGAGUGUCCAGGUGCAGGAACGGGGCUGUGACGGUGGCCGGGAGGUUGGGAGGACUGACGGCCAUGCUCGCUCUACUGCUACCCUUGCUUCAUGCCUGAGACACACACAGACACACACACAGACACACACACACAGAGACACAGACACACACACACAGACACACACAC
This is a long non-coding RNA of Petromyzon marinus (sea lamprey), 378 nucleotides long. RefSeq lists it as uncharacterized. The record is from RefSeq and is a predicted model, not a curated record. NCBI's taxonomy places the organism in Eukaryota, Metazoa, Chordata, Hyperoartia, Petromyzontiformes, Petromyzontidae.